UGGGGAAUAUUGCACAAUGGGGGAAACCCUGAUGCAGCGACGCCGCGUGAGCGAAGAAGGCUUUCGAGUCGUAAAGCUCUGUCCUAUGAGAAGAUAAUGACGGUAUCAUAGGAGGAAGCCCUGGCUAAAUACGUGCCAGCAGCCGCGGUAAUACGUAUGGGGCGAGCGUUGUCCGGAAUUAUUGGGCGUAAAGGGUACGUAGGCGGUUUUUUAAGUCAGGUGUCAAAGCGUGGAGCUUAACUCCAUUAAGCACUUGAAACUGAAAGACUUGAGUGAAGGAGAGGAAAGUGGAAUUCCUAGUGUAGCGGUGAAAUGCGUAGAUAUUAGGAGGAAUACCGGUGGCGAAGGCGACUUUCUGGACUUUUACUGACGCUCAGGUACGAAAGCGUGGGGAGCAAACAGGA
Molecule: ribosomal RNA, 404 nt
Filed under: Verrucomicrobiota bacterium
Lineage: Bacteria; Pseudomonadati; Verrucomicrobiota
Description: Verrucomicrobia bacterium partial 16S ribosomal RNA
Rfam family: Bacterial small subunit ribosomal RNA
Source: RNAcentral